Trichomycterus rosablanca is the source of this 220-nucleotide long non-coding RNA. RefSeq lists it as uncharacterized. NCBI's taxonomy places the organism in Eukaryota, Metazoa, Chordata, Actinopteri, Siluriformes, Trichomycteridae. The transcript is spliced from 3 exons. The record is from RefSeq and is a predicted model, not a curated record.
UGGGACAUUCUUACCUAAAAGGUGCUGGGAAGGAGCUAAUAGCUUGGAUCUUUGCAUCAAGAGGUCGUACAGUACCAUUACCAACAGUUUUUCCAAGGUGACCAGAGAGAUGGUGAUCAUGAGCCAAAGACAAAACUAAGGACCUGUAUGGAAGAGGAACCACAAUCUGUUUAACAGUCUCACAUUCACUGCUUGAACUUACAGGAGACCAGGACCUCAU